CUCAAAAUUUCUCUUGAGAUAUAUUAUUUUAUCUGUAUGUUAUGUAGAAAUAUGUUGUAUAAUCUCUAUGUAUUUGGAACCUCCAGCUACCUUUCUAUGAAAUGGUUAUGUUUAAUCUAAGACAAAAUCAAUCUAAGUGUGAACAAUCAGUCUGUUUAAUGACAAGGUGGUGUCACAUUUCUGUGAAAUCUUUGAAAGGAGGCAAAAAGCAAGUGUCGUUGGGGAGAUUCUUCCUUCAAAUUGCAUGAAAAAAAAAAGGUUCUAUUAAGCCAAUAGACUGCAGUGAUUCCAACAGUGAUAAUAAAAGGCAUCCUA
This 315-nucleotide long non-coding RNA is filed under the name Cavia porcellus (domestic guinea pig). RNAcentral describes it as "lncRNA (ENSCPOG00000036193.1)". Lineage: Eukaryota; Metazoa; Chordata; Mammalia; Rodentia; Caviidae. The record is from RNAcentral.